CGACUCUAAGCCGUACAUUCCAUCUCCUCAACACCCACUCGCUUCCUUCUGCUCUCACCUAUUACUUCGCCAGCCCACAUAUCUGCUAUAACCUGCCCUCCCCCACCCGCUUCCCACACAUCCGCCACCGCUACGAAGCCUCGAGCUCCCCCAGCGACCCUCUCGGCAACGCGAGCGCCCCAGUCCCCCCACGCACAACUUUGACCGAGCACAAUGAAGAUCCGCAGCGUGCGUCCGCUUGUGGUGUUGCUGGUGUGCGUCGCGGCGGUGCUCGCACUCAGCGCCUCCGCUGAGCCGCACAAGGCGGCCGUUGACGUCGGCCCGCUCUCCGUUGGCCCGCAGUCCGUCGGCCCGCUCUCUGUUGACGUUGGCCCGCAGGCUGUUGGCCCGCUCUCUGUUGACGUUGGCCCGCAGGCUGUUGGCCCGCUCUCUGUUGACGUUGGCCCGCAGGCUGUUGCCCCGCUCUCCGUUGGUCCGCAGUCCGUCGGCCCGCUCUCUGUUGGUCCGCAGUCCGUCGGCCCGCUCUCCGUUGGCCCGCAGUCCGUCGGCCCGCUCUCUGUUGACGUUGGCCCGCAGGCUGUUGGCCCGCUCUCUGUUGACGUUGGCCCGCAGGCUGUUGCCCCGCUCUCCGUUGGUCCGCAGUCCGUCGGCCCGCUCUCUGUUGGUCCGCAGUCCGUCGGCCCGCUCUCCGUUGGCCCGCAGGCUGUUGGCCCGCAGGCUGUUGGCCCGCUCUCCGUUGGCCCGCAGGCUGUUGGCCCGCUCUCCGUUGGCCCGCAGCGUCGGCCCUCUCGUUGGCCCGCAGGCUGUUGGCCCGCUCUCUGUUGACGUUGGCCCGCAGUCCGUUGGCCCGCUCUCCGUUGGCCCGCAGGCUGUUGGCCCGCUCUCCGUUGGCCCGCAGGCUGUUGGCCCGCUCUCUGUUGGCCCGCAGCGUUGGCCCGCUCUCGUUGGCCGCAGUCCGUCGGCCCGCUCUCCGUUGGUCCGCAGGCUGUUGGCCCGCUCUCCGUUGGCCCGCAGGCUGUUGGCCCGCUCUCUGUUGGCCCGCAGUCCGUUGGCCCGCUCUCUGUUGGCCCGCAGGCUGUUGGCCCGCUCUCCGUUGGCCCGCAGGCUGUUGGCCCGCUCUCUGUUGGCCCGCAGGCUGUUGGCCCGCUCUCUGUUGGCCCGCAGUCCGUUGGCCCGCUCUCCGUUGGCCCGCAGUCCGUUGGCCCGCUCUCCGUUGGCCCGCAGGCUGUUGGCCCGCUCUCCGUUGGCCCGCAGUCUGUUGGCCCGCUCUCCGUUGGCCCGCAGUCCGUCGGCCCGCUCUCCGUUGGCCCGCAGGCUGUUGGCCCGCUCUCUGUUGGCCCGCAGUCCGUGGCCGCUCUCUGUUGGCCCGCAGUCCGUUGGCCCGCUCUCCGUUGGCCCGCAGUCCGUUGGCCCGCUCUCCGUUGGCCCGCAGUCUGUUGGCCCGCUCUCCGUUGGCCCGCAGGCUGUUGGCCCGCUCUCCGUUGGCCCGCAGGCUCCGUUGGCCCGCAGUCCGUUGGCCCGCUCUCCGUUGGCCCGCAGUCCGUCGGCCCGCUCUCCGUUGGUCCGCAGUCCGUUGGCCCGCUCUCCGUUGGCCCGCAGUCCGUUGACGUUUCUCCGGUGUCUUAAGGCUCGGCGUCCGCUUUCCGGUGUGCGUAAAAGUAUAUGCCAUGAGGCAUGGUGACGAGGCAAACCUUGUCAGCAAUGUGGCAUUAUCGUACGCGUGCAAGAGCAACAGCAGAGCUGAGUGUUCAGGUGGCCACAGCACCACGCUCCUGUGACACUCCGUGGGGUGUGUGUGACCUUGGCUGCUGUUGCCAGGCGGAUGAACUGCGAGGGCCACAGCAGCGCAAGUGCCGCUUCCAACCUUGCGACUUUCACGCCACAGACGCAUAGCAGCGCCCUGCCUGUCGCGGCGCAUGCGGGCAAGCCAUCUAGAUGCGCCUCUCCACGACAUGGCCGGAGGCGGCAGAUGAAGGCAGCGACCCCUUUUCCCCGGCCACGACGCCGCGCUGAGGCGGGCCCCACAGCGCAGAACUGCGAGCGCGGUGCGCGGGCGCUGUGACGCACAGCCGGCACGCAGCGUACCGCACGCAGACAGUGCAUGGGGAGGCCGGAGGAGCAAGAGCGGUGGACGGGAACGGCGCGAAGCAUGCGGCACGCCCUCGAUGUGCCUGUGUGGGCUGAUGAGGCGCGGAUGCCGGAAGCGUGGCGAGGGCAUCCCGAGUUGCACCGUCGAGUCCUCCAGGCCCGAAUGUGGCGAGCCUGCGGGGAGCAGAUUAUGGGAUGCGGCUGCUCGAAGCGACCGAGGGCGCUGACCGGAAGGUGGCCGACUUCCUCCUCGGGCCUGUGCGGCAUGCGCCCUCGAUCGGGAGCCCGAAUGGUGGCCGCGCGGGUGAAGGCGUGCCGCCCACCCGCGUCUCCGUGUGGCGCCGCUGGGGGCAGGUGCGCUGUGGCUGUGUAUGUGCGCUGAUGUGCUGACUUGUUCGUGGUGGGCUAUGGGCACGGUGAGGGGCGACGUUGGCCCUUGCUGACUUCCUCUGCUUUCUUAUUAUUCUCAGUGCCCCCGCUGGAUUGGGCUGCAUCGGCGGUCUGUAUCGCGCUUGUCUCUCUCAUUUGACGGCUGCGCCCUCCCGCCCCUCCCACUCGUGCUGUGGGAUGGAGGCACGGCCGGGCUCUGUGUUGUGUGCACCGCGUGCAAGAAUUCAGAUGAGGGACUGCCGAGCGAGCAGACAAAGCAGCAGCAGCAACAGGAAGGCAGGCCUGAGCACGUUUUCUUUUCUCUCUUGAGACUGCGGACUACGGGAAUCAGAGACGUCGUCAGAGACGCGCAUCCGCACCCGCGCGCUAUGCUUCCUCGUUCUCUCUCCCGCCCCAUUCUGUGCGCCUGCCUGUCUGCGUGUCGCGAGCGCCGUUGCCGGCGGUCUCUCUCCCCUCCCUUCGCUUCUCUCUUGCAAGCGCUUCCUUUUUCACAGCCGAACGUUGCUGCUCGCCUGGAGGCCGUUCCCCCUCUUAUCAUCUCUGCAUUUAUUUUUACACGUGCUUUUGCUUUGGCUUCCUGACGAUGCCGGCCACCUCACCGCGGUGUCAGGGCCCAGCGCCCACUCUUUGUGGGCAGGCCAAGUAGCCUGCAGCCUGCCCAUGAGCACGGCUGUGGACUCUUGGUGCCAGCGGACAGGUGUGGGCUGGCGCUGUGCCGGUGACACCAACGGUCAUGAUGACGCUUGGACCAGCUCACUGCGGAUCAUGCCGACGAUUCAACGAAUGCGCGCAUCCACCUACUGCCUUUCUGCCUUUGCUGCGCUGCGGUGGUGCUGAGCGUGGUCCCGGGGCCUAGCCUGCGCUGUACGCAGCGGCAUUGCGGUGGGCUGAGCGGCGCCAGGCGGUGCUGGCCGGCCCUGCUGCUUGGCAUAGCCGUGGCGUGCAGCAGAUGCGGAUGGGCUGUGGCUGCGCAUGCGUGUGUGCGUUGACUUGUUCGUGGUGGGCGGGCACGUAAACGGCAAAAUGCGCUUUGGCGUUCCGGCGCCAGCCUCCGGCGCUGGUGCGGUAUUCGAAUACGCGCCUGAAGAGGUGGCGAGGAAAAUGGCACGAGGCGCAGAGGGAAAAAACGAAAAGUGCAAAGUGCGCAAACCGCGCAGAAAAUGCGGAGGAGGACUGAGACUGCUGACAUGCGUGAGCGCUGCAUUGCGGCGGGGGGCUGGAGCGGAGUGCAACGCCGUACACUCACACAGAUACACGCGCCAGUGUGCCUCGCAGGCUCCCCCUGCUCGUCACCGGCGUGCGCUGCUCUUU
This 3789-nucleotide unclassified non-coding RNA is filed under the name Leishmania donovani. RNAcentral describes it as "gene:unknown". The record is from RNAcentral. Lineage: Eukaryota; Euglenozoa; Kinetoplastea; Trypanosomatida; Trypanosomatidae.